GGUACGCGAGCUGGGUUUAGAACGUCGUGAGACAGUUCGGUCCCUAUCUGCCGUGGGCGCUGGAGAACUGAGGGGGGCUGCUCCUAGUACGAGAGGACCGGAGUGGACGCAUCACUGGUGUUCGGGUUGUCAUGCCAAUGGCACUGCCCGGUAGCUAAAUGCGGAAGAGAUAAGUGCUGAAAGCAUCUAAGCACGAAACUUGCCCCGAGAUGAGUUCUCCCUGAGACUUAGAGUCUCCUGAAGGAACGUUGAAGACGACGACGUUGAUAGGCCGGGUGUGUAAGCGCAGCGAUGCGUUGAGCUAACCGGUACUAAUGAACCGUGAGGCUUAACCUUACAACGCCGAAG
Molecule: ribosomal RNA, 348 nt
Filed under: Escherichia coli
Lineage: Bacteria; Pseudomonadati; Pseudomonadota; Gammaproteobacteria; Enterobacterales; Enterobacteriaceae
Also listed under: 1 other name
Description: bacterial LSU rRNA
Rfam family: Bacterial large subunit ribosomal RNA
Source: RNAcentral